Molecule: small nucleolar RNA, 90 nt
Organism: Manis javanica (Malayan pangolin)
Lineage: Eukaryota; Metazoa; Chordata; Mammalia; Pholidota; Manidae
Product: small nucleolar SNORD12/SNORD106
Source: RefSeq, a predicted model, not a curated record
GCCAUUGUAGCUUAUGACAUAGCUUUUUUCCCCAUCAGAUCGACCUUGUUAAUCUAACAACUAUUAGCCAGUUUUGUCUUAUGCAUUGGC